Molecule: ribosomal RNA, 435 nt
Filed under: uncultured bacterium
Lineage: Bacteria
Description: partial 16S ribosomal RNA
Rfam family: Bacterial small subunit ribosomal RNA
Source: RNAcentral
GAUGAACGCUGGCGGUAUGCUUAACACAUGCCAGUCGAACGGACUCUUCGGAGUUAGUGGCGGACGGGUGAGUAACGCGUGAGAAUCUGGCUUUGGGUUCGGGACAACCACUGGAAACGGUGGCUAAUACCGGAUGUGCCGAGAGGUAAAAGAGAAAUUGCCUGAAGAUGAGCUCGCGUCUGAUUAGCUAGUUGGUGAGGUAAAGGCUCACCAAGGCAGCGAUCAGUAGCUGGUCUGAGAGGAUGACCAGCCACACUGGGACUGAGACACGGCCCAGACUCCUACGGGAGGCAGCAGUGGGGAAUUUUCCGCAAUGGGCGAAAGCCUGACGGAGCAAUACCGCGUGAGGGAAGAAGGCUCUUGGGCUGUAAACCUCUUUUCUUAGGGAAGAACAAAAUGACGGUACCUAAGGAAUCAGCAUCGGCUAACUCCGUG